UACGAAGGGGGCUAGCGUUGUUCGGAUUUACUGGGCGUAAAGCGCACGUAGGCGGAUCGUUAAGUGAGGGGUGAAAUCCCAGGGCUCAACCCUGGAACUGCCUUUCAUACUGGCGAUCUUGAGUCCGGAAGAGGUGAGUGGAACUCCUAGUGUAGAGGUGGAAUUCGUAGAUAUUAGGGAGAACACCAGUGGCGAAGGCGGCUCACUGGUCCGGUACUGACGCUGAGGUGCGAAAGCGUGGGGAGCAAACAGG
RNAcentral lists this ribosomal RNA (253 nucleotides) under uncultured bacterium. RNAcentral's name for it is "partial 16S ribosomal RNA". It matches the Rfam family "Bacterial small subunit ribosomal RNA", at positions 524 to 776 of the family's 1533-position model. The record is from RNAcentral.